RNAcentral lists this ribosomal RNA (416 nucleotides) under uncultured prokaryote. RNAcentral describes it as "bacterial SSU rRNA". It matches the Rfam family "Bacterial small subunit ribosomal RNA", at positions 505 to 918 of the family's 1533-position model. The record is from RNAcentral.
GUGCCAGCAGCCGCGGUAAUACGUAGGGCGCAAGCGUUGUCCGGAAUUAUUGGGCGUAAAGAGCUCGUAGGCGGUUUGUCGCGUCUGCUGUGAAAGCCCGGGGCUCAACCCCGGGUCUGCAGUGGGUACGGGCAGACUAGAGUGCAGUAGGGGAGACUGGAAUUCCUGGUGUAGCGGUGAAAUGCGCAGAUAUCAGGAGGAACACCGAUGGCGAAGGCAGGUCUCUGGGCUGUUACUGACGCUGAGGAGCGAAAGCAUGGGGAGCGAACAGGAUUAGAUACCCUGGUAGUCCAUGCCGUAAACGUUGGGCACUAGGUGUGGGGGACAUUCCACGUUCUCCGCGCCGUAGCUAACGCAUUAAGUGCCCCGCCUGGGGAGUACGGCCGCAAGGCUAAAACUCAAAUGAAUUGACGGGG